RNAcentral lists this ribosomal RNA (492 nucleotides) under uncultured bacterium. Its description in RNAcentral is "partial 16S ribosomal RNA". It matches the Rfam family "Bacterial small subunit ribosomal RNA", at positions 29 to 507 of the family's 1533-position model. The record is from RNAcentral.
AGUGAACGCUGGCGGUAGGCUUAACACAUGCAAGUCGAACGGCAGCACAGUAAGAGCUUGCUCUUACGGGUGGCGAGUGGCGGACGGUUGAGGAAUACAUCGGAACCUACUUUUUCGUGGGGGAUAACGUAGGGAAACCUACGCUAAUACCGCAUACGACCUACGGGUGAAUGCAGGGGAUUUUCGGACCUUGCGCGACCGAAGGAGCCGGUGUCGGAUGAGCUAGUUGGCGGGGAAAAGGCCCACCAAGGCGACGAUCCGUAGCUGGUGUGAGAGGAUGAUCAGCCACCCUGGAACUGGGACACGGUCCAGACUCCUACGGGAGGCAGCAGUGGGGAAUAUUGGACAGUGGGCGCAAGCCUGAUCCAGCCAUACCGCGUGGGUGAAGAAGGCCUUCGGGUUGUAAAGCCCUUUUGUUGGGAAAGAAAAGCAGCAGGUUAAUACCCCGCUGUUCUGACGGUACCCAAAGAAUAAGCACCGGCUAACUUCGUG